This is a long non-coding RNA of Onychostoma macrolepis, 1785 nucleotides long. RefSeq lists it as uncharacterized. The transcript has 3 exons. Lineage: Eukaryota; Metazoa; Chordata; Actinopteri; Cypriniformes; Cyprinidae. The record is from RefSeq and is a predicted model, not a curated record.
CAUUUUUCAUGUCACUACCGAAACAGUGCAUGUUUUAGUCUGAUUUUAACUAAACCCAUACAUUUAUGAUCAGGAAAUAUUUCUGUAUCCCUCUCUCUCAAAGCUACAAGGUGCGAGUAGAUAGGUCUCAUCAUUUUGAGGUAAAUGUGUUCAAAAGUAUGACAAAUCUGUGUGUAACUUUAAGGAACGUCACUACCGAACACCUUUUUUCUGCAGUUAAGCACUUUUUUGGGAGUUUUUCCAUAACAUUUAGUUUUCAUAUGAGUAUCACUGUUCAGAACUGUGCUAGCUAACCAUGUGCUGAUUAGCAUCUCUGAGCUAAGUUCAAAAGUAUCUAAAAUUGUCAUUACCGAAACAGUUAGGUGGAGUUUCGGUAGUGACAUCUUUGGGUUUUUGGGUGUUAUCCCAUAGAAUUGUAACUACCGAAACUGUCACGACCGAAACAUGUCAUCAUUGUUUUGAUAAUGACAAAAGGGAACACAUAAUAAACACAAUACAAUCAUGCAAUUUUUUUUUUAUUGUAGUAUGUUUUAGUUCAUGAGUUCACGAGUUAAGAUUCUGUAAGGUAAUGUGGUCGCUACCAAAACAUUUCUGCCACUAUCAAAAAUGUGCUGUCACUACCAAAACAUGGGAUGUUUUGUCAAAAAUAAAGUAUACUGAAUUAUCAAAUAAGAUGUUAUGAUAGUUUCUGGUUGAAACCUUAACUUUGAAAUCAGUUUGAUCAACUUUUUGCCUUUUACAAAGAAAAACUGGAUUCAAAAUACAACAAAUCUCAUAAAUUGCACUUGAAAUAUUGUUAAAAAUGUAUUUGUUAUUGAUUUACCUCUUAUUUUUUUAGAAAAUAGCAAAUAUAUAUAUAUAUUAUAAGUAAGCAAAGUAGAUGUAAGCAAAAUCUUAAUAGGUCAAUAUAACCCUUCUAAUAAAUUAUUAUUACUGUGUUUCGGUAGUGACAAAUUUAGGGAGAGGACAAAUAUUCCAAAACCUUUAACUGCACAAUUACUAGAAAUGUGUACCUUAGAUAUUAUACAAUAUGCAUACAUACACAUUUUUUGGGAAAAAUACAUUUUUUUCAAGACAUUUCCAACGCUGGCUUUGGACUAAUUCUGUAGAAUGGCCCAUAAAUAAUUAAUUUUAGUCCAGACCUCUGCUGGGAAGAGACCGUACCUCCUGGAACUUUAAUUGAAUACCCCUGACUUGUAUUGUACCCCUGACUUGACUGGAUGUACAUUAACCUUACAAAGCAUAUCAUUGUUAAGUUCCGUGUUUAUUUGUAUAGUAUUGUUGGAUUCUGCGUGCUGCUGUGUGCUGUCUUUCUCUUUCUCUCUCUCCUGUGUAAUACUGCUGCUCAACCAGGUGCGGAGGAGAGGAAAGUGAUCGCUCUCACCUGCUGCUCGUUACUGUGCAAGCUCAAAAGCUGUUCAACUUGCCUACCACACUGAAGCUUGACUUCCGUUGUGUUGUGUUGUGUUGUGUUGUGUUGUGUUGUGUUGUGUUGUGUUGUGUUGUGUUGUGUUGUGUUGUGUUGUGUUGUGUUGUGUUGUGUUGUGUUGUGUUGUGUUGUGUUGUGUUGUGUUGUCCCGUCCCGUCCCAAGUUGCAGCUUAAUGAAGCCUUUUGAAUAUGUAAGUGGAAGCUGUAGGGAGGUUUGGAGCAACCUGAGGAUUUCAGCUCUUCCUGAUGCUCUGACGCUCGUCUUCACUUCUGAACUGAUGGGAAUCUUCCAGCAUUUAUUGCUGAACUGCAGUGGGAGGAGCUUCACUGAUGAUGAGUUCUAUAGUGGGAGGAGC